Long non-coding RNA from Stomoxys calcitrans (stable fly), 1271 nucleotides. RefSeq lists it as uncharacterized. The record is from RefSeq and is a predicted model, not a curated record. Lineage: Eukaryota; Metazoa; Arthropoda; Insecta; Diptera; Muscidae. The transcript has 3 exons.
CCCCCGAUAUAGGCAUAUUCAACACCGGCGGUUGAACUGGAUUUGCGCCUGAGGUGCAGGCCGGCUGGCCUGCCGCAUCCCUACUACCAGACCUCGUGCCUACCAUCUCGACAAAGAUUCAAACCAAAUAGAUAGUGCGUAGGAAGACUGGUCUAGAGCAAGCCAAAAAUUCCUACACAAUGACCAAAAUAUAAAUCUGCAAGUAAAAGUAGAAACGAUGUAUAACCCCUAUGAGGGCAACAAAAAAAACUCUAUACGAGCCAACUAAAAGAAAAGCAUAUGUUCUAGGUGGUGAAAGGAAGGAACUAUUGGAGAGGCAAGUAAUGGUAAAAUAAGGUGAGUGUUUGAUUUUCUAUACGAUUUAUAAACAAAAAUUGACAAAAGAUAUUUUUCCAGGUUGCGUAAGUUCGUGAAACAAAAAUUACAGAUAUGGAUAUGUAGAUGGACGUAUACGGCAGUACAAGCAAGGACUAACCCUGUGCCGUCACCACAGCCCACUGGACUAUAGCCACGAUCGCUGGGGUUGCAUGAAGUUUGGCCCUACGCCUGAAAACUCUCCCAACGGAGUAAGAUGAUAUUUGCCCGGUGGGCAAAAACUCCCUAUUCAACGUUUUGAGGACCUACCCGGAUUAGAGCUCUGAUCCUAGCGCCUACGGCUCCUUCUAAAACGGAACCCACUGCAACUGAGUUGGGACAAAUAGCCCUUCUUGUCUCCCCCAGGUCGUCCGUCUUAGUCCGAAGUCCGGCAUUUACCCCUGCAACCCGGAGGAGGCUACAAGCAUCUGGAGCUCCCACGUUGAUUGGAGAGGCGAUGGUGGCUGGAUGCGGUUGAUGAUGGUGUAUCCGUUGUUUUUUUUUUUUUUUAACUUUAUUUUUAAGAUGUAGCGUUAUGUAGCUUGUAAGAUUUUAGUCUUAUUUAGAUUGUAAUUUUUCUUUUAGGUAUGCUCAAUUCUUAGAUAUCUUCGUAACUUUAAGAUGUAUUCAAUUCACUGUUUGUUUGUUUUUUUUUUUUUUUUAUCUAGCUUGUAGAUUUUAAGUAUUUUUUUUUGCUUGUGGUUUUGUUAACUUAGUUCUUAGGUAAGUUUAGUAUGUAGCCUUUAGGUAAGUUAAGCUUGUAGUUUUAGAUUAUUUUUAUAAUUUCUUAUAUAUUUUUUUUUUUUAGGAUGUAAUUUUUUCUUUAUUUUCAGAUUAUUUAAUAUGUAGUUCGUAAGUUCGAUUUUCCUUCAUGAAUUUAAAAAGAAUAAAAAAAAUCCAUUUUCAGGCAUCUUCUA